This 253-nucleotide ribosomal RNA is filed under the name uncultured bacterium. Its description in RNAcentral is "partial 16S ribosomal RNA". It matches the Rfam family "Bacterial small subunit ribosomal RNA", at positions 524 to 776 of the family's 1533-position model. The record is from RNAcentral.
UACAGAGGGUGCGAGCGUUGUCCGGAAUCACUGGGCGUAAAGGGCGCGUAGGCGGCUUGGUAAGUAGGGGGUGAAAUCUCAUGGCUCAACUGUGAGGCUGCCUUCUAGACUGCUAGGCUCGAGCACAGUAGAGGCGAGUGGAAUUCCCGGUGUAGCGGUGGAAUGCGUAGAGAUCGGGAAGAACAUCGGUGGCGAAGGGGGCUCGCUGGGCUGUUGUUGACGAUGAGGCGCGAAAGCGUGGGGAGCAAACAGG